AUCAAUAAGCGGAGGAAAAGCAACUAACCAGGAUUCCCCCAGUAACGGCGAGCGAAGCGGGAAUAGCUCGAGCAGGCAAUCUCUGGUGUUGAUCGCCAGCGAAUUGUGGCCGGCAGAGGCGGAUGCACCUGAAGCGACUCCGUCGAAGUUGACCUGGAAAGGCACGUCGGAGAGGGUGAUAGCCCCGUGCGUGGCGGAGUCGCUGAUGGCCGCUACCGUCUUCGGAGAGUCGGGUUGUUUGGGAGUGCAGCCCAAAGUGGGUGGUAAACUCCAUCUAAAGCCAAAUAACGGCACGAGACCGAUAGCGAACAAGUACCAUGAGGGAAAGGUGAAAAGCACUUUGGAAAGAGAGUUAAAGAGGCCGCGAAACCGUUGGGAGGGAAACGCAUGCAGCCGAACUGGUCCGCGUCGAGUUCAGGGGGCUGCGAGAAGUCGUGCGUGUAGACGUCACCUUACGGGUCGYCUGUACGUCCGGACGCCUCGCAUUCCUGGUCUCUCGGCGGCAAGGACCAGCCAAGUGCGGUGGGCGCCGGUCGAUGAGCACGCGUCGGGCAGGUAGCGCAACUGCUCCGGCAGGGGCGAACUUAUAGCCGAUCGUGCGGAGCGUCCGGUACCCACCGAGGAGAGUGGUGGUGUUUGCACCCCCGUAGCGCAGGCCGCUUGCGGCCGGGGCGCUCUCGUUCUUUUCUCUGCCGCGUCGGGUCCACUGCUUGCAGUGCCCGGUGACGGUGGACGUUUCGGACGGGAGGUCGUCCACGCCUUGCGCUGUGGUCGCUUGGCUAGCCCUCGGUUGCAUUCGA
This 800-nucleotide ribosomal RNA is filed under the name Stelletta dichoclada. RNAcentral describes it as "partial large subunit ribosomal RNA". Lineage: Eukaryota; Metazoa; Porifera; Demospongiae; Tetractinellida; Ancorinidae. The record is from RNAcentral.